ACGGAGGAUGCGAGCGUUAUCCGGAUUUAUUGGGUUUAAAGGGUGCGUAGGUGGUCUUUUAAGUCAGCGGUGAAAGUUUGUGGCUCAACCAUAAAAUUGCCAUUGAAACUGGGAGACUUGAGUAUGUUUGAGGUAGGCGGAAUGCGUGGUGUAGCGGUGAAAUGCAUAGAUAUCACGCAGAACUCCGAUUGCGAAGGCAGCUUGCCAAGCCAUAACUGACACUGAAGCACGAAAGCGUGGGUAUCAAACAG
This 251-nucleotide ribosomal RNA is filed under the name uncultured bacterium. RNAcentral describes it as "partial 16S ribosomal RNA". It matches the Rfam family "Bacterial small subunit ribosomal RNA", at positions 525 to 775 of the family's 1533-position model. The record is from RNAcentral.